Molecule: ribosomal RNA, 1290 nt
Filed under: Mycetocola sp.
Lineage: Bacteria; Bacillati; Actinomycetota; Actinomycetes; Micrococcales; Microbacteriaceae
Description: bacterial SSU rRNA
Rfam family: Bacterial small subunit ribosomal RNA
Source: RNAcentral
CAUGCAGUCGAACGGUGAAGCAGAGCUUGCUCUGUGGAUCAGUGGCGAACGGGUGAGUAACACGUGAGCAACCUGCCCCUGACUCUGGGAUAAGCGCUGGAAACGGCGUCUAAUACUGGAUAUGUGACGUGACCGCAUGGUCUGCGUCUGGAAAGAAUUUCGGUUGGGGAUGGGCUCGCGGCCUAUCAGCUUGUUGGUGAGGUAAUGGCUCACCAAGGCGUCGACGGGUAGCCGGCCUGAGAGGGUGACCGGCCACACUGGGACUGAGACACGGCCCAGACUCCUACGGGAGGCAGCAGUGGGGAAUAUUGCACAAUGGGCGAAAGCCUGAUGCAGCAACGCCGCGUGAGGGAUGACGGCCUUCGGGUUGUAAACCUCUUUUAGCAGGGAAGAAGCGAAAGUGACGGUACCUGCAGAAAAAGCGCCGGCUAACUACGUGCCAGCAGCCGCGGUAAUACGUAKGGCGCAAGCGUUAUCCGGAAUUAUUGGGCGUAAAGAGCUCGUAGGCGGUUUGUCGCGUCUGCUGUGAAAUCCGGAGGCUCAACCUCCGGCCUGCAGUGGGUACGGGCAGACUAGAGUGCGGUAGGGGAGAUUGGAAUUCCUGGUGUAGCGGUGGAAUGCGCAGAUAUCAGGAGGAACACCGAUGGCGAAGGCAGAUCUCUGGGCCGUAACUGACGCUGAGGAGCGAAAGGGUGGGGAGCAAACAGGCUUAGAUACCCUGGUAGUCCACCCCGUAAACGUUGGGAACUAGUUGUGGGGUCCAUUCCACGGAUUCCGUGACGCAGCUAACGCAUUAAGUUCCCCGCCUGGGGAGUACGGCCGCAAGGCUAAAACUCAAAGGAAUUGACGGGGACCCGCACAAGCGGCGGAGCAUGCGGAUUAAUUCGAUGCAACGCGAAGAACCUUACCAAGGCUUGACAUAUACGAGAACGGGCCAGAAAUGGUCAACUCUUUGGACACUCGUAAACAGGUGGUGCAUGGUUGUCGUCAGCUCGUGUCGUGAGAUGUUGGGUUAAGUCCCGCAACGAGCGCAACCCUCGUUCUUUGUUGCCAGCACGUAAUGGUGGGAACUCAUGGGAUACUGCCGGGGUCAACUCGGAGGAAGGUGGGGAUGACGUCAAAUCAUCAUGCCCCUUAUGUCUUGGGCUUCACGCAUGCUACAAUGGCCGGUACAAAGGGCUGCAAUACCGCGAGGUGGAGCGAAUCCCAAAAAGCCGGUCCCAGUUCGGAUUGAGGUCUGCAACUCGACCUCAUGAAGUCGGAGUCGCUAGUAAUCGCAGAUCAGCAACG